This 537-nucleotide ribosomal RNA is filed under the name Colletotrichum fructicola. Its description in RNAcentral is "eukaryotic LSU rRNA". The stretch from base 178 to 331 matches the Rfam family "5.8S ribosomal RNA". Lineage: Eukaryota; Fungi; Ascomycota; Sordariomycetes; Glomerellales; Glomerellaceae. The record is from RNAcentral.
CAUUACUGAGUUUACGCUCUACAACCCUUUGUGAACAUACCUAUAACUGUUGCUUCGGCGGGUAGGGUCUCCGCGACCCUCCCGGCCUCCCGCCUCCGGGCGGGUCGGCGCCCGCCGGAGGAUAACCAAACUCUGAUUUAACGACGUUUCUUCUGAGUGGUACAAGCAAAUAAUCAAAACUUUUAACAACGGAUCUCUUGGUUCUGGCAUCGAUGAAGAACGCAGCGAAAUGCGAUAAGUAAUGUGAAUUGCAGAAUUCAGUGAAUCAUCGAAUCUUUGAACGCACAUUGCGCCCGCCAGCAUUCUGGCGGGCAUGCCUGUUCGAGCGUCAUUUCAACCCUCAAGCUCUGCUUGGUGUUGGGGCCCUACAGCUGAUGUAGGCCCUCAAAGGUAGUGGCGGACCCUCCCGGAGCCUCCUUUGCGUAGUAACUUUACGUCUCGCACUGGGAUCCGGAGGGACUCUUGCCGUAAAACCCCCAAUUUUCCAAAGGUUGACCUCGGAUCAGGUAGGAAUACCCGCUGAACUUAAGCAUAUCA